CGUAAAGAUGUCAGAGGGUAAGGA
Molecule: non-coding RNA, 24 nt
Filed under: Cricetulus griseus (Chinese hamster)
Lineage: Eukaryota; Metazoa; Chordata; Mammalia; Rodentia; Cricetidae
Source: RNAcentral